Cyprinus carpio carpio is the source of this 2624-nucleotide long non-coding RNA. The record is from Ensembl. Lineage: Eukaryota; Metazoa; Chordata; Actinopteri; Cypriniformes; Cyprinidae.
CUAAUUUAUGAUUUUUCAACACAAAUUGAACUUAAUUUAGAGUCGUUUAGAGUUGAUUUGUUGAAAUUUUCAUUAUAACCAGUAGGGGUCUCCUAUGAGGCUAAAUAAAGUUACUGAUCACGUGGAGUGAAACUAGCUUUAUAAAACAGAGCAUUGAGUUUGUAUUCGUUUAAAGUGGUUCAUUCUACACAUCCUGUUCAGACCUCACACACACUGCUGUUCAUUCAUGUCAUUCCUCCAGCACUGAAGCAUCAACAUGAUAUUUAUAGUGUGCUUCAUUUAUUUAGCAGCACCUCCAUUCUGGGUCUCAGGUGAAUCACUAAGUGAUCAAGUUCGUCAGAAUCCACCUCAUCUGAUAACAAGAGCUGAGAAAACAGUUCAGCUCAGCUGUUCUCACAAAAUUAAAGACUAUUACAUGAUAUUAUGGUAUCAGCAGCUGAAGGGUGACAGUGCACUUAAUCUUAUUGGAAAUGUGUAUUACACAAAUCCAACCACCGAAAACCAAUAUAAAAAUCAGUUUACCAUCGGAGGAAAUGGAGCAGAAUCCUCUACUCUUAAUGUAACAUUAGAAAGAGAACAUGUUGGGAGUACUGCAGUAUAUUACUGUGCUGCCAGUAAAGCACAGUGUGGAAGAUCCUUUAAUCACUCUUACAAAAACCUUCUGUUAAACCCUGUCACCACAACAUUAUUAGCACCUGAAUGCACCCAUACACCCCCAAACAUGAUCACUCAGUGCACCCAUAUUAAGUUGUUGUAUGAUUAAUAUUAAAUUAAAAAUUAAAAAUUUAAUUUAUGCAUUUAGCAGAUGCUUUUAUCCAAAGCGACUUACAGUGCAUUCAGGCUAUCAAUUUUUACCUAUCAUGUAUUUCCAGGGAUCAAACCCCCAACCUUGCACUUGUUAACGCAAUGCUCUACCACUUGAGCUACAGAAACAGAUAUUAUACGCUAUUAUGUCACUAAGCAUUUAAUUCAUAUAUACAAUUAUAAAUUUUAUUGUUUUUAAAAUAAUUUCAUAUAUAAUUCAGCUAUCUCCAUUGCUGUUAAUUGCUUGCCUUAUCCGUUACUUAUUAUUUUUUGACACUUGUAUUUUUUAAAGUGUAAAGUGAAAUUGAUGAUGCAGUCACUGUAAUUCUUAUCAUGCAUCUACAACGUACAUGCGUUCAUUUAUUUAUUUUUAUUUAUUUUUUGAAUGAGGGACUAAUCUAUUCCAGCAUUAUAUGUCCAUUCCACUAGAUGUCCUCACAGAAAACUCUAGCUACUGAGUUUCUUGACUCAUAAAAACUAAAAUCUUCUUCUAUUACAGUAUGUAAACAAAAAUAACUUAUUUAAAUUGUUAUUUAUUUAUUUAUUAUUUUUUUAAGAAUCAUUGAGACUAAUUGUUUUUAAUUAAAAUCCCUUCCUCGUUUUCUCUCCUUGCUUUACAGAUUUGGGAUUAAAGCAAUCACCUCAUCUCUUUGUAACUGAGGAUCUUAAUGUGACCCAAAAGUGUUCCCAGAUUGGAACAUCACAUAACAGCAUGUACUGGUUCAGAAAAACACCCACUGAAUGAUUGGAGCAGAUAGUGCAUUUCUAUAUUAAAACCGAAAACUGGGAGAAGGAUUUUAAGCAGAGAGCAUCAGCUGUGAGCCGUAACCCAAUCUAUAACCUCAACAUAAGCAUGCAGAUUCACAUCUAACUCCUGCUCAUCUGUCAAUGAAUGAAAUUCUACAUUACUAUAGGGAUGAGUGGAUAAUGUAUUUCUAUAAAUUUUUGUAUUUUUAUGUUAGUUCAUGCACAUAAUUUAAACUAUUCCCACAUGUAAAGAAAAAAAUCUAAACAUGUUUUAGCUCAUUAACCUACAAGUAGUCUAAUUUAUGAUUUAUGAACUUAAUUUAGAGUCCUUUAGAGUGGAUUUGUUGAAUUUGUUUUAAUUAUAACCAGUAGGGGUCUCCUUUGAGCUUAAAUAAAGUUACUGAUCACGUGGAGGGAAACAGGCUUUAUAAAACAGAGCAUUGAGUUUGUAUUCGUUUAAAGUUUCUCAUUCUACACAUCCUGUUCAGACCUCACACACACUGCUGUUCAUUCAUGUCAUUCCUCCAGCACUGAAGCAUCAACAUGAUAUUUAUAGUGUGCUUCAUUUAUUUAGCAGCACCUCCAUUCUGUGUCUCAGGUAAAAAAUAUUUCAUUGUUUAUUGUCUUUAUUUGUUUCUCUAGUUUAUGCAUUUCUACUAACAUCUACUACUUAAUUUUGUCUGUUUUCAACAGGAGAAUCACCAAGUGACCAAGUUCAUCAGAAUCCACCUCAUCUCAUAACAAAAGCUGAGAAAACAGUUCAGCUCAGCUGUUCUCACAAAAUUAAAGACUAUAACACAAUAUUAUGGUAUCAGCAGCUGAAGGGUGAUAGUGCUCUAAAUCUUAUUGGAUAUGUGUAUUACACAAAUCCAACCACUGAAAACCAAUAUAAAACUCAGUUCAGCAUCGGAGGAAAUGGAGCAGAAUCCUCUACUCUUAAUGUAACAUUAGAAAGAGAACAUGUUGGGAGUACUGCAGUAUAUUACUGUGCUGCCAGUAAAGCACAGUGUGGAAGAUCCUUUAAUCACUCUUACAAAAACCUUCGGUUAAACCCUGUCACCACAACAUUAUUA